Molecule: ribosomal RNA, 407 nt
Filed under: uncultured bacterium
Lineage: Bacteria
Description: partial 16S ribosomal RNA
Rfam family: Bacterial small subunit ribosomal RNA
Source: RNAcentral
AUUGAACGCUGGCGGCAGGCCUAACACAUGCAAGUCGAGCGGAGCGGCGGACGGGUGAGUAAUGCCUAGGAAUCUGCCUGGUAGUGGGGGAUAACGUCCGAAAACGGGCGCUAAUACCGCAUACUAUCAGAUGAGCCUAUGUCGGAUUAGCUAGUUGGUGGGUUAAAGGCCUACCAAGGCGACGAUCCGUAACUGGUCUGAGAGGAUGAUCAGUCACACUGGAACUGAGACACGGUCAAGACUCCGACGGGAGGCAGCAGUGGGGAAGAUUGGACAAUGGGCGAAAGCCUGAUCAAGCAAUGCCGCGUGUGUGAAGAAGGUUUGCGGAUUGUAAAGCACUUUAAGUUGGGAGGCGGUACCAAAAGAGUAAGCACCGGCUAACUACGUGCCAGCAGCCGCGGUAAUAC